GAUUUUGUAGCUCAACUGGAGAGAGCAAUUGCCUACGAAGCAAUAGGUUUCAAGUUCGAAUCUUGACAAAAUCACAA
This 77-nucleotide transfer RNA is filed under the name Flavobacterium sp. 316. RNAcentral describes it as "tRNA-Arg". It matches the Rfam family "tRNA". Rfam says of the family: Transfer RNA (tRNA) molecules are approximately 80 nucleotides in length. Lineage: Bacteria; Pseudomonadati; Bacteroidota; Flavobacteriia; Flavobacteriales; Flavobacteriaceae. The record is from RNAcentral.